Molecule: long non-coding RNA, 932 nt
Organism: Gadus macrocephalus (Pacific cod)
Lineage: Eukaryota; Metazoa; Chordata; Actinopteri; Gadiformes; Gadidae
Exons: 3
Source: RefSeq, a predicted model, not a curated record
GGUGUUGUGCCAAAAGGUGAUCAGCUGCCUGAAAGUGAUUUCAGCCGCGGGAGCGCGCACAGCCUGUUAAAGCUAGGCUAUAUCGCCUCGAAACGUGCAUGCGGCAGCAAAGUAUGAUCAGUCAUACUAGUCAAUAGCACUACAGGACUAUUGUCCGCUGUAUUAACACAGAUAUGUAUUUUAAGGUGAGAAGACAUCGACGUUGUACCGACGUCUGAUCAGUCAUACUAGUCAAUAGCACUACAGGACUAUUGUCCGUGAGUCAAUUAUCCCUCUUUAGCCUAUAUCCUUCAAGCUCAUUCUUCGCCAGAGUGAAUUCAAUUCUCUAGCACCACGCAAGUGGCUGCUGGCCGAGGUAAACUUUUUUUUUUAACGCAGCAACCAUCACAUUUGUAUUCAUUUAGAUUUUGUACAGUCUGAGAUAUUAUUACCAAUGUAAUCAAUUUUUUCAGACAAAUGAGUGCUACCUCAGAGCCAUACUGAAUGUGAAAGAAAGGGAAAAGAAUAUAUAGGCUAUCCACAACCAUUAUUCUGCCGGAGUCAUAGUUUUUGGAGCACGGUCUGCCAUGGCCAAUCACUCAUUACGCAAGCUUAACUUUGACAACUACGAUGGAGUCAUGGGAUUCAUGAAUGUUGCAAACAACCACUGGAAAUUCCUGGUAACAACCUUAAUGAACAUAAUACAAAAUAUAUCCUCAAUAAUAAUUCUCUGCCAAUAGUGAAAUUCUAAUGAAAUGUAAUUUCUCCUUGUAGUAUCUCUACAAGUUGAACCAAAACGUGUUUGUCAUGGAUCCCUUGGGUCAAGAUGAGGACAAAGAGUCAGGCGUUGCUGCGGAACGGUUUCGCCAGUUCUUCAGGAGGCGGCAGAACCUCUAACAGAAGACUGAUUGGGUGGAUGUAAAGUGGCAGCAAGCCACAAUCAAGCACAGCAU